RNAcentral lists this ribosomal RNA (707 nucleotides) under uncultured eukaryote. Its description in RNAcentral is "SSU rRNA". It matches the Rfam family "Eukaryotic small subunit ribosomal RNA", at positions 591 to 1303 of the family's 1831-position model. The record is from RNAcentral.
CUCAUAGCGUAUAUUAAGUUGUUGCAGUUAGAACGCUCGUAGUCGGAUUUCGGGGCAGUCCGACCGGUCUGCCGAUGGGUAUGUACUGGCCGGAGUGUCCUUUUUGCCGGAGACCGUGCCUACUCUUAACUGAGCGGGGGCGGGAGACGGCACUUUUACUUUGAAAAAAUCAGAGUGUUUCAAGCAGGCAGCUCGCUCUUGCAUGGAUUAGCAUGGGAUAAUGAAAUAGGACUUUGGUGCUAUUUUGUUGGUUUCGAACACCGAAGUAAUGAUGAGAAGGGACAGUCAGGGGCACUCGUAUUCCGCAGAGAGAGGUGAAAUUCUCAGACCCGCGGAAGACGAACCACUGCGAAAGCAUUUGCCAGGGAUGUUUUCACUGAUCAAGAACGAAAGUUAGGGGAUCGAAGAUGAUCAGAUACCGUCGUAGUCUUAACCAUAAACCAUGCCGACUAGGGAUUGGAGGAUGUUCACUGAUUGACUCCUUCAGCACCUUACGGGAAACUAAAGUCUUUGGGUUCCGGGGGGAGUAUGGUCGCAAGGCUGAAACUUAAAGGAAUUGACGGAAGGGCACCACCAGGUGUGGAGCCUGCGGCUUAAUUUGACUCAACACGGGGAAACUUACCAGGUCCAGACAUUGUGAGGAUUGACAGAUUGAGAGCUCUUUCUUGAUUCGAUGGGUGGUGGUGCAUGGCCGUUCUUAGUUGGUG